This 327-nucleotide long non-coding RNA is filed under the name Homo sapiens (human). RNAcentral describes it as "HSALNT0123858". The record is from RNAcentral. Lineage: Eukaryota; Metazoa; Chordata; Mammalia; Primates; Hominidae.
GAUAUGUAGCCUGAGCUGGACAUAUAUUUAGGGCAUAGAACUUAGGGCACAGAAUUAAUGUGGUGUGAAAGGAAGUGCAUCUAGCCCAGUCCCCCACUGAUGGAUUCAUCUACAUUCACACAGACAAGGUGGAGACAGUGACUAGAGGCCCUGCCCACGGCCCCCACAGCAAAUGUCAUGAGAAUUUCAGGUCCAUCCUGACAACCAUCCCCUCUCAGUGCCCGGGUGAGUUUCCCUGGCAUUUAAGAAUGCUUACCAGUCUUCUGGCUUCCACCCCAAAUCCAAGAAGUAGAUUUCUUUCAGCUUUAUUGACUUUUCAUUAAGGGA